RNAcentral lists this transfer RNA (75 nucleotides) under Bacillota bacterium. Its description in RNAcentral is "Firmicutes bacterium (anaerobic digester metagenome) tRNA-Ile". It matches the Rfam family "tRNA". From Rfam's summary of the family: Transfer RNA (tRNA) molecules are approximately 80 nucleotides in length. Their secondary structure includes four short double-helical elements and three loops (D, anti-codon, and T loops). Further hydrogen bonds mediate the characteristic L-shaped molecular structure. tRNAs have two regions of fundamental functional importance: the anti-codon, which is responsible for specific mRNA codon recognition, and the 3' end, to which the tRNAs corresponding amino acid is attached (by aminoacyl-tRNA synthetases). tRNAs cope with the degeneracy of the genetic code in two manners: having more than one tRNA (with a specific anti-codon) for a particular amino acid; and 'wobble' base-pairing, i.e. permitting non-standard base-pairing at the 3rd anti-codon position. Lineage: Bacteria; Bacillati; Bacillota. The record is from RNAcentral.
GGGCCCUUAGCUCAGCGGUAGAGCAGGGGACUCAUAAUCCCUUGGCCGCAGGUUCGAAUCCUGCAGGGCCCACCA